This 407-nucleotide ribosomal RNA is filed under the name uncultured Propionibacteriaceae bacterium. Its description in RNAcentral is "bacterial SSU rRNA". It matches the Rfam family "Bacterial small subunit ribosomal RNA", at positions 355 to 774 of the family's 1533-position model. The record is from RNAcentral. Lineage: Bacteria; Bacillati; Actinomycetota; Actinomycetes; Propionibacteriales; Propionibacteriaceae.
UGGGGAAUAUUGCACAAUGGGCGGAAGCCUGAUGCAGCAACGCCGCGUGCGGGAUGACGGCCUUCGGGUUGUAAACCGCUUUCACCCAUGACGAAGCGCGAGUGACGGUAGUGGGGGAAGAAGCACCGGCCAACUACGUGCCAGCAGCCGCGGUGAUACGUAGGGUGCGAGCGUUGUCCGGAAUUAUUGGGCGUAAAGAGCUUGUAGGCGGUUGAUCGCGUCGAUAGUGAAAUCCCGGGGCUCAACCUCGGGCUUGCUGUCGAUACGGGUUGACUUGAGGAAGGUAGGGGAGAAUGGAACUCCCGGUGGAGCGGUGGAAUGCGCAGAUAUCGGGAAGAACACCGGUGGCGAAGGCGGUUCUCUGGACCUUUCCUGACGCUGAGAAGCGAAAGCGUGGGGAGCAAACA